RNAcentral lists this ribosomal RNA (2786 nucleotides) under Escherichia coli. Its description in RNAcentral is "bacterial LSU rRNA". It matches the Rfam family "Bacterial large subunit ribosomal RNA". RNAcentral also lists the same sequence under 1 other name. Lineage: Bacteria; Pseudomonadati; Pseudomonadota; Gammaproteobacteria; Enterobacterales; Enterobacteriaceae. The record is from RNAcentral.
AGCGUACACGGUGGAUGCCCUGGCAGUCAGAGGCGAUGAAGGACGUGCUAAUCUGCGAUAAGCGUCGGUAAGGUGAUAUGAACCGUUAUAACCGGCGAUUUCCGAAUGGGGAAACCCAGUGUGAUUCGUCACACUAUCAUUAACUGAAUCCAUAGGUUAAUGAGGCGAACCGGGGGAACUGAAACAUCUAAGUACCCCGAGGAAAAGAAAUCAACCGAGAUUCCCCCAGUAGCGGCGAGCGAACGGGGAGCAGCCCAGAGCCUGAAUCAGUGUGUGUGUUAGUGGAAGCGUCUGGAAAGGCGCGCGAUACAGGGUGACAGCCCCGUACACAAAAAUGCACAUGCUGUGAGCUCGAUGAGUAGGGCGGGACACGUGGUAUCCUGUCUGAAUAUGGGGGGACCAUCCUCCAAGGCUAAAUACUCCUGACUGACCGAUAGUGAACCAGUACCGUGAGGGAAAGGCGAAAAGAACCCCGGCGAGGGGAGUGAAAAAGAACCUGAAACCGUGUACGUACAAGCAGUGGGAGCACGCUUAGGCGUGUGACUGCGUACCUUUUGUAUAAUGGGUCAGCGACUUAUAUUCUGUAGCAAGGUUAACCGAAUAGGGGAGCCGAAGGGAAACCGAGUCUUAACUGGGCGUUAAGUUGCAGGGUAUAGACCCGAAACCCGGUGAUCUAGCCAUGGGCAGGUUGAAGGUUGGGUAACACUAACUGGAGGACCGAACCGACUAAUGUUGAAAAAUUAGCGGAUGACUUGUGGCUGGGGGUGAAAGGCCAAUCAAACCGGGAGAUAGCUGGUUCUCCCCGAAAGCUAUUUAGGUAGCGCCUCGUGAAUUCAUCUCCGGGGGUAGAGCACUGUUUCGGCAAGGGGGUCAUCCCGACUUACCAACCCGAUGCAAACUGCGAAUACCGGAGAAUGUUAUCACGGGAGACACACGGCGGGUGCUAACGUCCGUCGUGAAGAGGGAAACAACCCAGACCGCCAGCUAAGGUCCCAAAGUCAUGGUUAAGUGGGAAACGAUGUGGGAAGGCCCAGACAGCCAGGAUGUUGGCUUAGAAGCAGCCAUCAUUUAAAGAAAGCGUAAUAGCUCACUGGUCGAGUCGGCCUGCGCGGAAGAUGUAACGGGGCUAAACCAUGCACCGAAGCUGCGGCAGCGACACUAUGUGUUGUUGGGUAGGGGAGCGUUCUGUAAGCCUGUGAAGGUGUACUGUGAGGUAUGCUGGAGGUAUCAGAAGUGCGAAUGCUGACAUAAGUAACGAUAAAGCGGGUGAAAAGCCCGCUCGCCGGAAGACCAAGGGUUCCUGUCCAACGUUAAUCGGGGCAGGGUGAGUCGACCCCUAAGGCGAGGCCGAAAGGCGUAGUCGAUGGGAAACAGGUUAAUAUUCCUGUACUUGGUGUUACUGCGAAGGGGGGACGGAGAAGGCUAUGUUGGCCGGGCGACGGUUGUCCCGGUUUAAGCGUGUAGGCUGGUUUUCCAGGCAAAUCCGGAAAAUCAAGGCUGAGGCGUGAUGACGAGGCACUACGGUGCUGAAGCAACAAAUGCCCUGCUUCCAGGAAAAGCCUCUAAGCAUCAGGUAACAUCAAAUCGUACCCCAAACCGACACAGGUGGUCAGGUAGAGAAUACCAAGGCGCUUGAGAGAACUCGGGUGAAGGAACUAGGCAAAAUGGUGCCGUAACUUCGGGAGAAGGCACGCUGAUAUGUAGGUGAAGUCCCUCGCGGAUGGAGCUGAAAUCAGUCGAAGAUACCAGCUGGCUGCAACUGUUUAUUAAAAACACAGCACUGUGCAAACACGAAAGUGGACGUAUACGGUGUGACGCCUGCCCGGUGCCGGAAGGUUAAUUGAUGGGGUUAGCGCAAGCGAAGCUCUUGAUCGAAGCCCCGGUAAACGGCGGCCGUAACUAUAACGGUCCUAAGGUAGCGAAAUUCCUUGUCGGGUAAGUUCCGACCUGCACGAAUGGCGUAAUGAUGGCCAGGCUGUCUCCACCCGAGACUCAGUGAAAUUGAACUCGCUGUGAAGAUGCAGUGUACCCGCGGCAAGACGGAAAGACCCCGUGAACCUUUACUAUAGCUUGACACUGAACAUUGAGCCUUGAUGUGUAGGAUAGGUGGGAGGCUUUGAAGUGUGGACGCCAGUCUGCAUGGAGCCGGCCUUGAAAUACCACCCUUUAAUGUUUGAUGUUCUAACGUUGACCCGUGAUCCGGGUUGCGGACAGUGUCUGGUGGGUAGUUUGACUGGGGCGGUCUCCUCCUAAAGAGUAACGGAGGAGCACGAAGGUUGGCUAAUCCUGGUCGGACAUCAGGAGGUUAGUGCAAUGGCAUAAGCCAGCUUGACUGCGAGCGUGACGGCGCGAGCAGGUGCGAAAGCAGGUCAUAGUGAUCCGGUGGUUCUGAAUGGAAGGGCCAUCGCUCAACGGAUAAAAGGUACUCCGGGGAUAACAGGCUGAUACCGCCCAAGAGUUCAUAUCGACGGCGGUGUUUGGCACCUCGAUGUCGGCUCAUCACAUCCUGGGGCUGAAGUAGGUCCCAAGGGUAUGGCUGUUCGCCAUUUAAAGUGGUACGCGAGCUGGGUUUAGAACGUCGUGAGACAGUUCGGUCCCUAUCUGCCGUGGGCGCUGGAGAACUGAGGGGGGCUGCUCCUAGUACGAGAGGACCGGAGUGGACGCAUCACUGGUGUUCGGGUUGUCAUGCCAAUGGCACUGCCCGGUAGCUAAAUGCGGAAGAGAUAAGUGCUGAAAGCAUCUAAGCACGAAACUUGCCCCGAGAUGAGUUCUCCCUGACUCCUUGA